Long non-coding RNA from Dinoponera quadriceps, 1269 nucleotides. RefSeq lists it as uncharacterized. The record is from RefSeq and is a predicted model, not a curated record. The transcript has 5 exons. Lineage: Eukaryota; Metazoa; Arthropoda; Insecta; Hymenoptera; Formicidae.
UUUACGGUUUCAGAGUGGUACACGUGCGUAUCAAUUUCUCACGUUAUAAUUGGACACAGUCCAAUUAUAAGUCGCUUUCGAGGGAUCUUAGAAAUGUCUCUGGGCACACACGGUUCUAUCGUCCAAUUAUCCAGUGGGCGAUCUUGUUUACUCGUGUUUAUUACCACUGAAUAGAGAAUGUGACCGAAACGCUUGGUAUACAGGCCAUUUCGUAGGAAGGAAGGAAGGAAAGAAACGUUUGGAAAUGAAUUCGGAAUAUGCGACAAUGGUAAAGGAGCUUCUAAAAAAAACACAGCGAGCUUAGCGAAAACCUUCUUGAGGAAAAAACAAGUUCCUUCAAGGAAAAGACUUCCUAGAGAAAAUGCUGCUUGAAGAAGAAAAGCUCCUUCAAGGAAAAGACCAAGGUCUCUCGGGAAAAAGGCUUCCUGGACAAAAUGCUGCGUGAAAAAAGGGACAAACUUCUCCAGCUUCAAGAAUUCCAUCAAAGAGGAAUGGAUCUUAAAAUUAAGUUGAUUGAGUCACAACAUAAUACGGAAAUAGUAAAAAAAGAACUGGCUGAUGUAAAUGCAUAACAUUUAUUGGAUAUUCAAGCGUUCGAUAUAUGUAGUGUUUUGGAGAAAUUUGAUAGCAAAAUGUUUAGCUCUUAUACUGUGUCAACUAGGAUCAUUAAGGAAACGUAUAGAGAAUGGAGAAGAAAUUGUAGUUGAAAAACGCGCAGGCCUCGAAUCAUGAGAUUCCUAUCGAGAGGUUGCAAAAUUUCUACAGCAAGUAUCUGCGAGUAAACAGCAAACGAAAAGCAUUAGCCUAUCAGAAGAGAUAUUGUAGAGCUGUGUAUAAUCGGCGGUUUUCAGUAUUGCAAGGAGAAUACGCUGUACAUUCUCGCGCAAAUAACUCAAUAAGUCAACGUUCGGGCACGCAGUUACAACACGGAAAGGUGCGUCUCAAGAUCGUUGUAUUAAUGGUUAUUGAUACAAUCAGAAUGAAGUGGCUGUUCGAUCGCCGGCGAAUGAGGAGACAGGCAGGCACCAAUGUUCUUAUGGAUUUUAUCGACCAGUUAAUGGAGAAGCCGCUUACGAGAUAGCCUAUGUUUAAUCAUUCUCCGCCUGUUAGGGAAAGAGCGACGACGAAGUAAGUAGAACAAUUGUCAAAUAAAUUACAUUUUUAGUCAAGAAAUGCCGCAAUAUAAAAAUGCUAAUAAUUGUUUCUUAUAUUUUUUUUUUACUUAAUAUAAUUUAAGAUAAUUAUAUGUAAUUAAGGAAUACCUCGUUG